This 200-nucleotide ribosomal RNA is filed under the name uncultured bacterium. RNAcentral's name for it is "partial 16S ribosomal RNA". It matches the Rfam family "Bacterial small subunit ribosomal RNA", at positions 29 to 232 of the family's 1533-position model. The record is from RNAcentral.
AACGAACGCUGGCGGCAGGCUUUACACAUGCAAGUCGAACGGUAACAGGCCGCAAGGUGCUGACGAGUGGCGAACGGGUGAGUAAUGCAUCGGAACGUGCCCAGUCGUGGGGGAUAACGCAGCGAAAGCUGCGCUAAUACUGCAUACGAUCUAUGGAUGAAAGCGGGGGACCGUAAGGCCUCGCGCGAUUGGAGCGGCCG